RNAcentral lists this ribosomal RNA (226 nucleotides) under uncultured bacterium. RNAcentral's name for it is "partial 16S ribosomal RNA". It matches the Rfam family "Bacterial small subunit ribosomal RNA", at positions 1277 to 1500 of the family's 1533-position model. The record is from RNAcentral.
CAAAAACUGUCUCAGUUCGGAUUGUAGGCUGAAACUCGCCUACAUGAAGCUGGAGUUGCUAGUAAUCGCGAAUCAGCAUGUCGCGGUGAAUACGUUCCCGGGCCUUGUACACACCGCCCGUCACACCAUGAGAGUUGGCAAUACCCAACGUACGUGAUCUAACCCGCAAGGGAGGAAGCGUCCUAAGGUAGGGUCAGCGAUUGGGGUGAAGUCGUAACAAGGUACC